CGACUCUUUCCGUGAAAGAAGUGUUGAAAAUGACUUAUUGUGGCCGCGACUGGCUCCGAGGGGCAAGAACAGCUCCAGAUCUGAAGCAUCUGUUUAACAGUGAACUUCUGGAUGAGUUUGACUCUAUCCGCCUUUGGCUCCAUCUGAUCCGGACUGCCAUCCUCCGCGAAAAUGAGGUGACUGAGAACAAGAGAGGCAAGA
Molecule: long non-coding RNA, 201 nt
Organism: Haliotis rubra (blacklip abalone)
Lineage: Eukaryota; Metazoa; Mollusca; Gastropoda; Lepetellida; Haliotidae
Exons: 3
Source: RefSeq, a predicted model, not a curated record